UUGAUUGAUUUGUAUUCAAUACUCGACGCAAAGAUGCAGGGUUGGUUGGUCCUCUGGGGGACUCCCGGGCGCGGACGGCCGGGUCGCCCCCCGAGGCAACAAUUAAUAUCGACAAAGGGUUGGAGGUCGGGCGCGGGGGCCCUCACUCAGUAAUGAUCCCUCCGCAGGUUCACCUACGGAGA
Molecule: unclassified non-coding RNA, 182 nt
Filed under: uncultured fungus
Lineage: Eukaryota; Fungi
Description: sequence contains ITS1
Source: RNAcentral